UACGUAGGGGGCAAGCGUUGUCCGGAAUCAUUGGGCGUAAAGGGUGCGUAGGCGGGUCUUUAAGUCAGGGGUGAAAUCCUGGAGCUCAACUCCAGAACUGCCUUUGAUACUGAAGAUCUUGAGUUCGGGAGUGGUGAGUGGAACUGCGAGUGUAGAGGUGAAAUUCGUAGAUAUUCGCAAGAACACCAGUGGCGAAGGCGGCUCACUGGCCCGAUACUGACGCUGAGGCACGAAAGCGUGGGGAGCAAACAGG
This 253-nucleotide ribosomal RNA is filed under the name uncultured bacterium. RNAcentral's name for it is "partial 16S ribosomal RNA". It matches the Rfam family "Bacterial small subunit ribosomal RNA", at positions 524 to 776 of the family's 1533-position model. The record is from RNAcentral.